Molecule: non-coding RNA, 77 nt
Filed under: Geosporobacter subterraneus DSM 17957
Lineage: Bacteria; Bacillati; Bacillota; Clostridia; Peptostreptococcales; Thermotaleaceae
Source: RNAcentral
AACCGCCGUAUACCGAACGGUACGUACGGUGGUGUGAGAGGUCGGUAGGUAAAAUAAUUAUCUACCUCCUACUCGAU